AGUGAACGCUGGCGGUAGGCCUAACACAUGCAAGUCGAACGGCAGCACAGUAAGAGCUUGCUCUUACGGGUGGCGAGUGGCGGACGGGUGAGGAAUACAUCGGAAUCUACUUUUUCGUGGGGGAUAACGUAGGGAAACUUACGCUAAUACCGCAUACGACCUACGGGUGAAAGCAGGGGAUCUUCGGACCUUUCGCGAUUGGAUGAGCCGAUGUCGGAUUAGCUAGUUGGCGGGGUAAAGGCCCACCAAGGCGACGAUCCGUAGCUUGUCUGAGAGGAUGAUCAGCCACACUGGAACUGAGACACGGUCCAGACUCCUACGGGAGGCAGCAGUGGGGAAUAUUGGACAAUGGGCGCAAGCCUGAUCCAGCCAUACCGCGUGGGUGAAGAAGGCCUUCGGGUUGUAAAGCCCUUUUGUUGGGAAAGAAAAGCAGCAGGUUAAUACCCCGCUGUUCUGACGGUACCCAAAGAAUAAGCACCGGCUAACUUCGUG
Molecule: ribosomal RNA, 492 nt
Filed under: uncultured bacterium
Lineage: Bacteria
Description: partial 16S ribosomal RNA
Rfam family: Bacterial small subunit ribosomal RNA
Source: RNAcentral